Molecule: ribosomal RNA, 402 nt
Filed under: uncultured bacterium
Lineage: Bacteria
Description: partial 16S ribosomal RNA
Rfam family: Archaeal small subunit ribosomal RNA
Source: RNAcentral
ACACCGGCAGCUCAAGUGGUAGCCGCUUUUAUUGGGCCUAAAGCGUCCGUAGCCGGUCUGAUAAGUCUCUGGUGAAAUCCCACAGCUUAACUGUGGGAAUUGCUGGAGAUACUAUCAUGACUCGAGGUCGGGAGAGGCUGGAGGUACUCCCAGGGUAGGGGUGAAAUCCUGUAAUCCUGGGAGGACCACCUGUGGCGAAGGCGUCCAGCUGGAACGAACCUGACGGUGAGGGACGAAAGCCAGGGGCACGAACCGGAUUAGAUACCCGGGUAGUCCUGGCCGUAAACGAUGUGGACUUGGUGUUGGGAUGGCUUCGAGCUGCCCCAGUGCCGAAGGGAAGCUGUUAAGUCCACCGCCUGGGAAGUACGGCCGCAAGGCUGAAACUUAAAGGAAUUGGCGGGG